AAUAUAUUACAUUACUGUAACAUAUUAUAAAAUAUAUAAUAUAUAAUAUAUACUUCCAGAAUUUUAUAUAUCUUAUAUAUUUUAUAAUUUCAACUUUUAUUUUAGAUAUAGGGGGUUCAUGUACAGGUUUGUUACAUGUGUAUAUUGCAUGGUACUGUGGUUUGGUGUAUGGAUCUCAUCACCCAAGUAGCGAGCAUAGUACCCAGUAGUUAGUUUUUCAACCCACACCCCUCUCCCUCCCACCCCUCUGUAGUAGUCCCCAGUAUCUAUCGUUCCUGUCUUUAUGUCCAUGUACUCAAUGUUUAGCUCCCACGGUAUUUGGUUUGAAGUUUAAAGUUGGGUAAUGUGAUGCCUCCAGCUUUGUGGAACAAUAUUGUUAACCAUUGCAUACACUACCUCUUAGGUAUGGCCAUGUUGCAUGCCUUACAAAAUCUGUUAUUCAGAGAGGUGGAAUGAUUGUACAAGGCAACAAUGACAGUGGUGGUUCUCACCCUCCAUUCCAAGCCAGAAUUGCUGUUAUGUUAGUGAUAUAAAUGCUUGAUAUUGAUAUCAAGGAGAAGUAACUCAGGAAAUGAAGACUGGUUAUGGACUCAUGGCCUGGCUUUCCUGGUGGUUCUCUAAACUUUGAAGAUUUUUGUAUGCCAAUGUUUACAUUUGAAGAUGUUGGCCAUUUAAUAGAUAAUACAUGAGGAUAUUCAUAGAGUUCUUUUGGUAGAGUGUUUAGAGCAUAGUCUUUGGGAUUCUCAUUGAUUUAUUCAACAAGUAUUUAUUAGAAUUCUAUUGUGUGUCAGACAUUGUGGAUACAAAUAUGAGACAGAAUUGGUUCCUGUUUCUUGCUAAGCAAGGGAGAGGGACAGUAAACAUGCAAUCACGUUUCAAUGUCAUACGUGCAGGGUCCAGGCACUCACUCUAAGCUGAAGGUGCAGAGUGAGAAAGGAAUGGCAGCGGGUGCUUUAUAUCCCUACUGCCAUUAAUUUACUGUACAGCCCCAGAUAAGUUCCUUAUACUCUAUGACAUCAAUUUCUUUGUGUAGGAUGGGCUAAUGUCAAGUCACAAAGGCUUUAGAGAAAUGAAUUAAAUUACUAUAUAAAGUACUUAAUACAUUGGCCAGCAGAUAACAGGUGUGUAACUCAUAAAGCUAUUUUGUCCUCUAACCAUUUUCUCCAAGCACUCUCAUUUACCAAUGAGGAUAAGAAGGAAGUAUUGCUUUACUUAAACAAUAGAUAGUAGAUUUAGAAAAUGGAAGUGAAACAAAGCAUAAUUAGUGAACUUAAUUUUAUACUGAAUUCUGCUAUGUAUUCAAUACUGUGCUAAGAGAAGCAGAUACAAAAUCAGGGACCCAGGCACUUGCCGCCAUCAUAAAGUUUCUAUCAUGGCAAUGGAAACUGCCAUACAACUCUUUCUCUACUGCCAUGCCAGAAAACACAUUAAUCAAAGCAGGAAAGGAGGGAGAAGAAUGGCUUCUGCAAAAGACACAGUUGCCUGAAGAGGAGGAGAUUUGGAGUGGGCACGAAUUAGUCUUACUCUGUAUUACUUGGACAGAACUCAUACCAAUGAAUAGAACAUACCUGGUUUGAUGCAGAAAAAAAUUUUCUAACACUAGAGAUGCUUAUACAUGUGAUAAGCCUCCUGGUGCAAUACUCAAUGCCAAGACUGCAUGUGUGUGAGCAGCUACCACCUGGGUUUUUGGUGGCAUCCAGUCAUGGUCUUUCUAAGGCCUCUUUGAACUCUGUUUCUAUGACCUGGGCAAGAAUUAAGUUUUCUAUGAAAAUAGUAUUUAUUAAAAAUCAUCACUGUGUCUUGUGCUUGCAUACCUUCCAUAUUUUAUCUUAAAGGCCAGCCUGAAGAGCUUAUUUUCUUCUAGAGCCAAUUCUGUGCUGGUGUCUGUUGAUUGAUAUCACAAAACCUAGCUCAUUGCCUUUACUUAAAUAAUCCUUGCUACUUUUCUUUCCUGUGGUCUGGAAUUCUACCACUAGUUACUGAUAAGGAUUUAACAUUUUAAAUAUCGUCAAGAAUCUCUUAUUAAUUGCAAAUGUCUCUGAAGAAGGGUUCCCAAGGACUGUUAAUUUUGGUCAGUUAUUUUUUUAAGGAGGAAUUAGCUUAGCACACAUAACAGUUGUUAAAAAAUUUUUAGUGUUAACUCCAAUCAACUGAUAGUGGCUGUCCUGCAGCUUUGUGCUGUGAGUGUUUCUAAGACUGAGCAUAAGCUCAGAGAGAAAGAGUGCAGUGAUCAGAUAGCAGUGUCUGCAGUGGGUAACAGUCUUGGAGCAUUCUUCCAAAGGAUUUGACAAAAGAUUGGACUUAGUUUAAUAGGUACAUUUUUGAUAGUUCUAAGAAGUUUAGAGUAAGAUUUCAGGGGAACAGCUCUAAGGAUACAUGACAAAAGAGACAAUGAAUGUUAAGGCCGUUUAGAGGACCUCAAAAUGGAUGAUGGAGACCUGCCAAAGAUAGUCUUCCCCUUGCUGACCUUGGUGGGCUCUCUAGCAUCCUUCAUAUUCUUUAUGACAAGCCUAUGUGUCCCAAAACUAAAUAAUGACAGAUGUUUUGGGGUUGUUUUUCAGGCAAAUAUGUCUCUCUCACUUGUGAUAUAUUUUUGCUUAGAAAACCGGUAUUGAGAAUAUGUGAGUAGCAGAAUUAAGUAAGAUACUGUCAGCCUUAGAGCUUAUUUGAUCCAAACCUUCCAUUUAAAAAUGAGGAAAUUGAGAAGAGAAUAAAGUAAUAACCCAUGAUCUCCCAUUUUCAAAAUUUUAGACUUUACAUGUAUAGACAUCUUACAAUUGUUAUUUAGUAACUAAUUACCUGUUUACUGCCUUAGACCCAAGAAUUGGUUGAUAGGCAAAGCAGACAAUAGCUGAGGGAUAUUGAGUCUAUGAACAAAUUACUUGACUCUGAGUCUUAAUUUCUCAUUCAAGACAUAAUAAUAUUGCUAACUAUCUGAGAGUCAUAUAAAGUGACCAUAGUAAGUGUUUGAUAAAUUAGGUCCCAUUAUUUUAGGUUCACUCCCAGUGCUUGUACAGCUCCUAACUCCCCUUCUCCCCAGGGACUUGAAAAUGUACCCAGCAUUAGAACCUGAGCCCUGACCAUUUAGUCAAUCUGUGGUAGUAUAUGUUUAUCUUCUUCCCUUCCACUUUAGAACUUUGGACAUGUCAACAAUCAUUUCUAAGAAAUGACGUAUUGCAGACCAACAUUUGCCAAGAGUGUUUAUGGAUUACUUAAUUAUAAAGUUUGCAUGUUGAAAUCUUAAAGAAACAAGCAGAUUGACAUGACUUGUUUAAAAAUGCAGUAUUCAUUAAUGAAUUCAAUCCAUCAGCAACAUUUCUUCAUUGUCAUAGAUUUCCUCAGUUUUAUCAGGGCCAUAGUUGCUUGGAAAAAAUAUUCACCAGAAAAAGGUUUCUUUUUAAUAGUAAUUACUUGAAAAGAAUAUAAAGUUCUUCAUUUCUCUCAAAUGAUAGAACACUUUCCAUAAAGGUUCUCACGAAGUAAUGAAGACUGCUAAACCCACAUCUUUUCUUGUUUUCUUCAGCUACAUUAAAUGUCAAUCUCGUUAGAGAAGUUUACUAGAUGAGGGUGGAAAAUCCUAUUUACAAUUUACAUAUUCCAGGUAUAAGGAUAAGAUAAGUAAGGCACAAUGACUACUAAAGCGUACAUGAGAAGGCUUAUCUUUUUCAGAGGUCAUUACUGUAAGUAGAAUCAUUGAAAAUUGCAAGACAUUAAUUUGUGGAAUGAAUAUACAGAGAGAGCUGAUAUAUUGAAGCAACACACACAGGAAUAUUCCACUUUAGCCUCACUUCCACUCUAGGUAAAAGAAUGUUCUAUUUUAAACUUACGUUUAGAAUUGGAUAAGCAGUUUUAGACAAAGCAAUACUUUGAAUAAUAGCAGAAAUAAUAUUAUGAGCUAAAUUAUUCAGUACCUGUUAUGUGCCAGGCCCUGUGCUCAGUACUUCACACAUAUGCUUUCUUAUUUUAUUUUCUUAUUUUUAAAUUGUAUUUUUAGAAACAGGGUCUUGCUCUGUUAUCCAGGCUAGAAUGCAGUGGUAUGAUCAUUCAUACCACCUUGACAUCCUGGGCUCAAUUGAUCCUCCUGCCUUAACCUCCUGAGUAGGUAGGACUACAGGGGCCUAACCCUGUACCUGAGUAGUUUUUCAUUUUUUUGUAGAGAUGAGGUCUAACUAUAUUGCCCAGGCUGGUCUGAAACUCCUGGCCUCAAGUCUUGGCAUCCUGGCCUCCUGCAUUGGCACCCUAAAGUGCCGGGAUUACAGGCAUGAGUCAUCAAGCCCAGCCCAUAUAUGCUUUCAUGUAAUCUUAACUACCACCCAAUAUAGUAGAACUUAUUUAAAUUUUAUUGCCAGAGAAACAGAAACUCAGAGAGCUCAAGUUAUUUUCCCAAGAGCAUAGUAAGUACCAGAGCUAGAAGUUGAACUCAGAAUAGCUGUCGCUGAAACCUUUUCUUAUUUUAAUAUAGUAAAUGAUAAUGGUUUGUUUAUUUAACAACUGCUAAGCUCUUUGGGAGCUAUUAUUAUAGGAAAAAUGGCACUGUUAUCAAUAGAGAACAUAUGCAUGUGAUUUUGGUGAGUGGAGAUGAUGAAGAAGAUGGAGGUGAUCCAAGAUGUGUGAAACACCGACUUUGCUGAAUUAAGCCUGGCAAGUUCUGGAGGCUGGGACCUCCAAGAUCAAGGCACUGGCAGAUUUGGUAUCUGGUAAGCAUCCUUAUAUUCGGAAUCUGGGAUGGCUCUACAUUCUGGUCCAUAGAAGGUGCCUACUGAGGUGUCUUAACAUGGUGAAAAAGGUAAACCAGCUCCCUUGGGCUUCUUUUAUAAGGGCACUGGUUGCAGUCAUGAAGACUCCAACCUCAUCACCUAAUCACCUCCCCAAAGGCACCGCCUACUAACACUAUCACCUUGGGGUUAGAUUUUCAAUGUAUGAAUUUUAGGGGACACAAGCAUUCAGGUAGCACAGCAGCAAAUAAAAUCUCACUUAUUCAGCCAUACAGUAUAUUAAUAGCCAGAAUUACCCAGACAGAAUGUAAGAGACAUGUGAGUUUUAUUAUCACUAUUGUUUUGUCUGAAAUUUGAAAUAACAUUAAUUGUUUUUGGAGGGAAUGGAGCAAUGAUAUAACAAAAAACAAUGGAAGAAAAGGGCUUGAGGCUAUCUUUAACAUAAAUAUUAUGUUUCAGCCCCAACAUUAUGGUUGCUCAGUUUCUUCAGAAAGCAACUCAUGGAGAAGUACAAACCACAGUUAGAAAGUUGAGAGAUUUCAAUGAGAAGCACAGGACCUUUAAGUCACAUGGUUACCUUCAGAAUGCACUCACCAAUUGAAUACUAUUGUCUGACAUUCUCAUAUAAUGAAUCCUGGGAAACUGAAGUAUUAAUUUUAAAAAUUUUCUGAGAAAAUAUGAAGAAGAAAAAAAAACAGUAAAUAUAUGAUGGGAUCCUUUUCCCAACUCUGAGUAGACAUAGAAAAAUCAUGUCUCACUGGGUGCGGUGGCUCACGCCGGUAAUUCCAGCACUUUGGGAGGCUGAGGUGGGCGGAUCACCUGAGGUUGGGAGUUUGAGACCGGCCUGACCAACAUGAAGAAACCCUGUCUCUACAAAAAAAAGAAAAAGAAAAAAUUAGCCGGGCGUGGUGGCGCAUGCCUGUAAUCCCAGCUACUCAGAAGGCUGAGAAGAGAGAAUCGCUUGAACCCGGGAAGGCAGAGGUUGUGGUACAGUUAUGAAACAUCUAGAAGUCAUCCAUUCUUGUAUAGACUUACUCUCCUGACAUGUCUACUUGCUAUGAAACAGCUGUUUAGUCAUGUUGCCAAGAAGAAAAGAAGACAGAAUGCCUCUAGAUAAAGAAAUGCUAUUCCUAUGUCAAUUUGCUAUGCAAAGUGUGGACUGUGGACCAGCAGCAUGUGCGUCGCCUGGCAGCUUGUUGGAAAUGCAGAAUCUGAAGCUCUCAUCUAGACCUACUAAACAGACUUCACUUUAACAAUAUAUCUGGGCAAGUCAUAUAGUCAUUAAAAUUUGAGAAGUAUGAUCUAGCAUAGAUAUUACUUCAUAAUAAAUGUUUAAUGUUUCAGUUACUAUUGCUGCAUAGCAAAACACCCCAAAAUUUAGUGACUUAAAAUGACAACUACCAUUUUAUUGUGAGGAAUUCAGGAAAGGCUCAUUUGGGUGUUUGGCUUAUGAUCUUUCAUAUGGGUGCAGUCAGACAAUGUCUGGAUCUGGGACUCUGGGGGACUGAAGCACCUGGUCACUGGUCUGACAUCUUUAUUUCUUCUUAUACAAUCUCAGGGCCUCUCUAUGUAUUCUUGCUGCUAGGCUAGUUUGGGCUUCCCAAAGUCUAGUAGCCUGAGGUCAGUUGGACUGCUUACACAUGGCCGAUGGCUUCAAAAAGAUGUACUCUAGUGGAGAGAGCACAAGUUGCUUGGCUUUUCUGAUCUAGCCUUAGAAGUCACUUCUGCCAUGCUCUAUUUGUUGAAACACCGUAAAACAUCAUCAGUUUGAAGGAGACAGUAUAUACACCUUACCUCUUCAUGGGAGGAUUGUCAAAGUCUCUCUGUAAGAAGAGCAUGGUAUAGGAGAUAUUGUUGUAGCCACCUUUGCAAAAUACAAUUGACACACUUAAUAUUUAUAACUAUUGCCUUUACUCCUUUAUUGUGUAGAGGUAAAUCAGUGAUUAAUUCCAGGUUAAAGGUACUUUUUGGCAUGCUCAAUAGCCGUCUUUACUUUACAGGAGGAGGUAGAGUGCCAGAUGGCUUUCCCAAAAGGCAUGCUGAAAAUUAUUAGUAGUUUGAUAAAGAUUCUGAUGAAUUCCUCAAGGCUAAAUGCAGUGCUGAAUUUUUCCUUGUCAUCUUCUUUGAUCUUCUCAGUGAGAAAUUAUCUCAUCUUCCUCCAAAGCCCAUUAGAAUGUUGCCUAUUUUAAAAGUUGAGUUCUUCAUAUCAUAAAUUAAAUAUUGUGUCUAAAGAGUUUCUGGCAUAUGCUACAUACUCAAUGAUUGCAGGUAUUUUCAUUAAAUCUAUUUAUAUAUAUUUCUUACCUCCUUCUCCUUUCUUUUCCUGGUGAACUGCAAUUCGUUUAGAAGCCAAUUCUGAAUUCCUAGGCAGAACAGUCAUAUUUUUCUUUCGGUUUCAAACUAAUUUAAACCCCAAACCAGUAUUCAUGCACAGACUUAUUAUAUUCCAUUACCUAGCAUUUCUAAAGAAUGACUUUUUUUUUUUUUUUUUUUUUUUUACAGAGGUGAGCUUUUUAGAUAACUUACACUAUUUUAAGUUACAAGGUUUUCGUAAUCUUAAUUUUUUUCAGUGGAAUUUUUUUGCUAAAUGUGUAAUAUGCACCUAUAAUGCUAAGCAUAAGCAGAUGCUCAUAAGCUAGGGAUUCUUUUUUCUUCCUCAUUUUGUGAUGUUUAUAGCCUUGCUGCUGCCAGCGUGUCUAUACCUAGUGGCAUUUGCUCCUUUCUCAGAGAAAAUUACAUAAUAGAUUGCAUAAACAUUCUAUCUAUGAUCAGAGAAUGUGAUCUAUGAGGGAAAGCCUCAGAGAAUCUCUUAUGAAGAAGUGAAUACAUUUGCUUGUUUUUGAUUUUGAAUGAGUAUGAUACAACAAAAUAAUAAUAAAUUAUAAAAUAUAAUUAAAUUUUAUUUAAUAAUAUUCAUUAAAUAAAAAUAUUAUUAUCAUGCCAGUUUUAUGGUUUGAAUAUCACCUUUGCAUGCAUUUUCUAACUUGUUUUUGAAAACCUCACUGUAAGGUACAGUUACUCAUAGUAAAAACAAUAUGUGAUCAAUAUAAUGUUUUUAAUAAAAAUAUGGAGUUGUUCUAAACUUUCGUUUAUUUAUUUAUUUCUUUUUGAGACAGAGUCUGGCUCUAUCAUCCAGGCUGGAGUGCAGUGACAUGAUCUUGGCUCACUGCAACCUCUGCCUCCCGGGUUCAAGUGAUUCUCCUGCCUCAGCCUCCUGAGUAGUUGGGAUUACAGGCAUGCACCACAAUGCCCAGGUAUUUUUUUUUUUUUUUUUGUAUUUUUAGCACAGACAGGGUUUCACCAAGUUGGCCAGACUGGUCUCGAACUCCUGACCUCAAGUGAUCCACCUGCCUCGACCUCCCAAAGUGCUGGGAUUACAGGCUUGAGCCACCGUACCAGGCCCUGAAAUUUUAAAAUAUGACUUAUAUCCCUACCACAAAGAGAUAUCAAUUUUGGUAUAUUUUCUUGUCUUAAUUUUUUCUAGUCACAGAUUUUAUUUUAUACAUGAUAUGGUCACACUGAAUAUGUAAUUUUGAUUAGAGAUUUAAACAUAUCUAUUUUGUACUAGAAGUAUAUAUCUUCUCAAGAAUAAUGGACCGUUAUUUAUUUAACUGUUACCCUUCUGUUGAACCAUUUUAUUUGUUUCCAAAAUUUUGCAACCGUAACAAAACAUGCCUGUACUUCUUUUUCCAUAAUUAUGUUUUUAUUUAUUUAGAAACAUUUCUUGGUAAGAGAGUUGGCAGUAAUCCUAAGUUAAAGAUAUGAAUAUUUGAGGGGAUGAGGGAGUUCACUAAUAUAUAUUACAAAACUGGAACAUAUACUUAAGAUUAGGAGUAUGAGUAUGAGAUACGUUCCAAAUAACAUGGUUAGUAACUUGGAUGAAAGCAAAAUACAACUCUAAGACAUUAUUGAAAUUUGUUCUGGUGGUUCUCUGAACUUUUGAUUACUUACUUUCUUGUGCUCACUUAUGUUCUAAAUGUUUGAGAUUCUGGAACAAGUGAUCUUUGGGAAAGAAAGAUGCGUUUUAUAAAACACACCAUGCUAUACUUUUGCAUUUUGGCCUCUUUUAAGCAACUCAGUAGAAGACUUUUUAAUUUCGAGGAGAAACACAAUUUUUAUCUUUGUUUCCUUCUUUAUUAAUAAUGAGAUUAACUUUUUCUGUUACUGCAAGACUUCUUUAAUAAACUGUUUUUUUCUAAUCACAGUUAGAAUGCAACAAAAAUAUAUUAGAGAAUUAUCUUUGAGAUAUCAUAAUUUAUGUGAAAUUAUUUUGAAAAGUGCUUGUUCAUAUCUUUUGCCCACUUUUUGAUGGGGUUGUUUGUUUUUUCUUAUAUAUUUGUAUAAGUUUCUUAUAGAUGCUGUAAUUAAAUUUAUUUAUGAAGUAGAAAAAGCAGUGUAAGUUAUAUCUAGAUUUGUAGACUUUGUUGCUGUUGUUAAUCACCCCUUUUGAUUAAACCUGUUUGAAAAAUCAUUUAUCUCUCAUUUUACAAAGUCUGUUAAUAGAAACCUGGCUCCCUUCUCUCCACUUAUGUUACUUGCCUGUUCUAAUAGGGCACAUAGUGCUGUAGAUGUAGAUGAAAAGGCAUAAUCCUCAACUGCCCUCGUCAUCUCCUACUUCAGCUUCUUCCAUCCAUUCAAAUCCUUUAGUCUCUUUCUCAGAGCACAAAAGAUUUUGGAUGUUCAGAUUCAGGCACUUACUGAAUUUUUCUGCAUUGUAAAGGCUGGAGGAGAAAAGGUAUUUUUUUCUCUUGGAAGCUAGGAACAAUUUUUGCUCCAACAUCACGUGAAACUGAAAAAGUGGGGCUGGCGGUGGAAGAGAUUGUUGCCCAGUGUGCUUCUUCCCUGGCCCAGACUGUGUUUCUAUACAAGUGGACCUCUGAGGACAUACAUUUACCUAACAUCACUUUCUCCAACUUAGGACAACACUGGGCUUCCUGGAAGCUCAGUUCUCCUUACAGGGCAGGCCCAGACUCCCUAUUUCCAGAGAAAUUUCAGGGAUGUUGCUCAAUUGUCAACAGAAGCAAGGGAAACCCAAGCAUCUUAUACUUAUGUCUUUAUGAUAAUAGAUUUAGCUAGGAAAGUGAGGAUGGAUAAAUUUUGAAGGCUUGUCAACCUUAUAUUUCAUUGCUUAUCUAAGCAACUUCUUUUGUUUUUAAAUUUAACUUUCAUUUUAAGUUCAGGGAUACAUGUGCAUCUAGUUACUUAAUUGCUGCACACACUCAGCCUUAUCAGUCUUAACCUGAUGCCAUAACGUAGCUUCAACGUACCACUCUUAGAUUUAGAUCUUCAUCCAAUUCUUCUUUCCUGAACCCUUAGUUUAUAUCCAUGACUGCUUAGAGAUGUGUAGAUGACACACAGAAGUCUUAAAUUUACUUAAACUCUAUAUUCACACAGCAAACUAUUUGGAUUUGCUUUUUAGCCACACUCCUCAAACCUGUUCUUUUUUCCUGAAUAUCAAUUUUAAUAAAUUGUGCUACCAUCAACCCAGUCUCCUAUAUUAUUCUAGAUUAUUUUUCUUCACUCUACUUUGUUCCUAAACUAAUUGUUGUUUAUUAAAAUGAUCAGUUCUACCUUUCAGAAGUGCUUAAGUCUAUCUGGACAUUGAUUUGGUUCAAACCUCACCAUUUUAAAGGUAAUUUUUCUCAAUAGCCUCUAAAUACCUUGUAUGUCAUUUCCCAAAUGGCAUGUUUUUAUACUUCUAAGCCUCUUUAUAUAUAAAGAUGAAUAGUUCUAAAUGCUCUUCUUUUUCUUCAGCUGUUUCAAGCUAACUUCUAUUUGUCCUUUAAGAUUCAAAUUGUUCAAGAUCUUCAUGGUGACCUCCAUCCAGUCUGGAUUGCCAGUCCCUCUUUUUUCUUCUAAACCAUUAUAUGUGUACUUUUCUUACAACUUCUAUUUAUAAUGUAUUACAAUUGGUAUUGUUUAACUGUUUCACUCUUGGUAUUGUUUAAUUGUUUCACUCUCCAAGUGUGAGUUUCUAAAUGUAGAGACUAGUUUAUUCACACCCAUACACAAUUAUUUGUGUGUAUAUGUGUAUUAGUACAUACGGAAGUGUAGUAGUAAUAUACAACGUAUAUAGUAAAUUAACAAAUAGUGAUGUGGUUCAGAGAAGAAAUACUUCCCAAACUGUGAUCUUAAAAUAAGAACAACAAUAGAAAAACAAUAAAACUCUCCAUUUGUACUUUGUUGGGCUAAACAUGGCAACAAUAAUACAGUCUGUCUCCUCUUAUGUUCUUUAAGAGAUGUUUGAAAAUCUUGUGACACUUGAGUAAGGUCAAGCAGAGAAGCUUUCUUUGUUAGAGUGAGUCACUAUAAAUGAUCUCUUUGUUCUCUCAGUUUGCUAGGGAUAAAGCAAUAUAAGGUACCAACUUUUUCUCUGUUUUUCUGUUAAGAACAAUAAAAAAUAAGCUCAGAAUGAAAUCUUCAAAAAUAACUUCUCCUUUUUAUGUUUUAUAGAGCCAGUUUAUAAACUACCCCUGCUCUAAACAGGCUAUCUUAUCCAGCAAGAUCACUCAAUCCUGUGAACAGCCAGUGCCAUUCCAAGGGGAAGGCAUAUUAACUCAGAAAAUGCUGACACACCUGACCUUUCAUCCCUGCCACUCAGCAGUUCUACAGAAGACCAGUUUGUAUGCAAACAAUUCACUUACAAGCCAGAAUUCCUACAAGCAUAAUACAGUUUUUCUGUAAACUCUUAGUGAUAGAAUAUGUAUUUAUGAAUUCCUUGGGAAGGGUUGCAAACUCGAAUGACCACAAGGGCCAGCCAGGGAUAGAGUGGGAACUGUGGGCAGGAGGAGAUGCUUUGUUGAGUCCAGAGGUGGCAGUGACUGUUCAGUGCCAGAAACAUUGCCAUGUGGGAACUCAGACUUCAGGUAGUUGGGUCUCCUGCAUUUUGAGAGAAGCUAGAAAUGUCUUGGUAUUUAAAUGUUCACAACUAAGAUAGGAAUUUAAAAAAAAAUGAAGUCAAGUGUAUGCAGGUUUUGUUUAAAGGGACUUAGAAAUAAGCAAGAGCUUUAGAUUCAUAUACUUGGUCAGCUCUUCUGUUUUAAUUAACUUAAUAUCUACUGCCAGACCCAUGGUAAAACAUUUAAAGAUUAGAGAGUUGGGGUAUUAACAUCUCUGGUGUGCAUUCAGAAGUGUAUAUUAACUAGGCAAACUGAUUUCAAUAUACACUAAGACAUUAUUGCUGUGGAAAUUGUCUGGAAAUGGAAAUAUUUCCAAAGUCCCUUUAGGGAGUGUUAUUUAGAGCUAAACAGAACAACAGAAUCUCAGUUUUCCUCAAAGUUCUUUGUAGAAUAAUCUUAGUUAUAUUUCCAAAAUUAUAUUUGAUACUGGUUAAUAAAGGUAAAUGCUGCUAUCUGAACUCACUUAUUAUAAAUGUCUAAACUUGCAUUUGGUACUAAAAUGUUGACAGGCACAACUUCCUAGUGGAAAGCACAUCGGACUGUGAGUUGGGAAAUGUGAGUUCCAGUCCUAGUUUUGAGUGCAUAGCUGUGGAAUGGAGGUCAAGUCAUUUGAUUUACCCAGGCUUUUGAUUUACCAGGCUUAAUUUACAACUGUAAAUUAAGGUGGUUGGAAGAUAACUUCAGAUAACUUCAAAGAUCCCUUCUAUAAUUCUGUUCCUUUGAAAAUAUUCUAGAGUUCAAAUUUCUCUUUCUUGUGACAUAGAAAAAUGUUUAGAUUAUGCAUGGAUGGUUCACUUAAAAGUUUAUUUGGGACAGGCAGCCAGCACUUUUUUUGAAAAAAUGGUCAUACUUACUAAUAUAAAGUUUAGUCUUAAAGAUUAUUAGGAAAAAUGUAUUCUCACCAAACACUUGAAAUUAUUUUUAGUAAAAGUAAAUAGAGUCUCUGAGCCAGAAACUACCUGUUGUUAAUCAGGAUGUUUCGGGCUCAAGUUCUAAAUCUGCCACUCAUUACUGUGUGACUUUAGAAAGAUCAUGUAAUUGGCCGGGUACAGUGGCUUAUGCCUGUAAUCCCAGCACUUUGGGAGGUUGAGGCAGGAGGACUGUUUGAGGCCAGGAGUUCAAAAGCAACCUGAGCAACAUAGUGACAUCCUGUCUCUACAAGAAAUUUAAAAAUUAACUGGGUGUGGUGGCCCAUGCCUGUAGUCCCAGCUACUUGGGAGGCUGAGACGGGAGAACCUCUUAAGCCCAGGAGGUAGAGAUUGCAGUGAGGCGUGAUCGCACCACUACAUUCCAGCCUAGGCAACAUUGUGAGACCCUGUCUCAAAAACAAACAAACAAAAACAAACAAGAAAAUCAUAUAUUAAUUUGAUUUUCUUAUCUUAAAAUGUAGGCAAUAAAACCUCUGUUCUAGCUUUCCAGGUUUCCAAAUGCUUUAAGGUCAGUUAAAAUUUAAUAGUCAUAAUUGGCUUUUGUGGAAAACUUCAUGACCUCAGACUUUUAUUGUUAACCUUUUAAUGUGUUUCAUAUGAUACAGGUUUCCUUAUGAAUAUUCAAAAAGAUAUCCAAAGUUGGCAGUUCCAGUGAUUUUAAGAGUGGAUAUAGUAUAUAAAAAUGGAUUGAGAAAGUGCUACAAAUUAGAAAACCCUUUGGAAUGCUAUAGCUGUGGGGCAAUUUUCUUUAAAAAAAAAAAAAAGCAAAAACCCCCUUUCUCACAAAUGAUUAUAAAAAUAGGCAAUAUUCUAGUGCUAUUAGUAGUGCCAUGCUUUUGUAAAUCAUUGUGCAUGUUUUUGCUAACUGCAAACACUAGACAAGAAAUACAAUUUCCAUCUAAACCACAGGCCACAUCACCAUACUGUAGCAACUCUAUGGAUGAGUCACUGACUUAUGGAUUCUGUGUUUCAUGAAGCUUCUGCAAUCUCUUCUUUACAGUGAAUAUAGCUGUUUGCUUGGCAUAGUAGCAGAUAGCAAGACAGCACAGCCUAUUAGAGUGGAGAGGAGAAAUGGAAGAAUGAAGGGCAAAAACAUCUCUUGUCCUGAGUGGGCUCAAGCAGGUAUGCCUAGCAUCUUUCUUUCCCAGAAAGAAGGAUAAGUGAGAGUGAUUUAGUCUCCUGUAGGUAAGCACUGUCUGAUGGCAUCACUGUUAGGCCUCCAUAAGAGUCAUUAUGAUAAUAACACCUUACAGGAGAUUGACUUUUUUUUUUUUUUUUUUUUUUGAGACUGAGUCUCGCUCUGUCACCCAGGCUGGAGUACAGUGGCGCAAUCUCGGCUCACUGCAAGCUCUGCCUCCUGGGUUCAUGCCAUUCUCCUGCCUCAGCCUCCAGAGUAGCUGGAUCUACAGGUGCCUGUCACCACUCCCGGAUAAUUUUUUUGUAUUUUUAGUAGAGAUGGGGUUUCACCGCAUUAGCCAGGGUGGUCUCAAUCUCCUGACCUCGUGAUCCGCCCGCCUCGGCCUCCCAAAGUGCUGGGAUUGAGAAUGGACAUUUAGAGUUUACAAAGCAGCUUUACAACCAGUGUCCUAUUUGAUUACAACAGCCUGAGUCACUAAGUACAUUUUAUAGAUGGUAGAAUAUUGAGUUUCAAGAGGUUCAAGUGACUUGCCUGAUGUCACACAGGCAGUAAGGACAGAGCUAAGUGUGAAAUUCAGGCCAACUGUUUGCAAAAACAAUAACAAUUUUCCCUAUAACAGGCACUGCUCAUUAGGAUAAGGUGGACUAGAUCUGACUAAUUAAGCUGAUAACCAGCGCUCUUGCUAAAGAACUAAGCCUACAAGAUUAUUGGUACCUUCCCACUGGAAUCUUAUAUUCAUGGUUCAAGAACUCUGAAUUUGUCUUUCUCUUGAGAAUCCAUUUAAUUCACUUCAAUUUGUAUUCAUGGAGUAUUUUACUAAGUUCACAAUUGGUAUAUGCUUUUAUUAAAUCAUGACUUCUUAAUAUGUAUCUAUAUUUCUAUACCUACAUCUAUAUCUCUGUAUCUGUGCCAUUUAUGUAAAAAGCCCAUUUUAUUGAAAUAACCAAUACAUACACAUGCACACUGACCAAUCAAACUUACCUUAAUAAAAUAGCUCUAAGGUUCUCUUUCUGGCUUGUUAAAUAAUUUGCCUUGUGUUUGUAAAGUAUUUCAUUUAAGGCCACAAAUGAGUUUAUAACACAGAAAAUUGAAGGCCAAUCUUGCUGUCCCACUUUUUCUCCACAAAAUACAUGGCAGUUUCCCUUUUAGCAAAACUUGACUUCCAAUAUUUGCAAACUCAGUAACUAAAU
Molecule: long non-coding RNA, 14871 nt
Organism: Pan troglodytes (chimpanzee)
Lineage: Eukaryota; Metazoa; Chordata; Mammalia; Primates; Hominidae
Exons: 5
Source: RefSeq, a predicted model, not a curated record